CUGCACGGCCUACAGCACUUGAGCAUGCCGAGAGCUUAUGCGCUGAUUCUAGGGAAUUACAAGAGCUCUCAAUUUAGGCUGAUUAAAGAAGCAGGACAGGAAAUAAUAUAAAAUACAUGGCAUAGUCAUUUGCUUUUUAAAAGGCUCUGUUUCUCCCCUCCCCCGCCCCCCUUCUCUGCCUCCUCUGCGACAGCUGCGUACCCGGAUGGAUGUGCGUGCUCAGAAAUUGCAUUAGCAAGAUACAACGAGCUACUUCUCUUCUCUCUCCUGGAUCCCAAGGGCAGGCUUGGCCCUGGUGGAAGCUGCAACUCCUGAGGAAGACUUCUGUGAAGGGUGUUGUGUGCAUGAGUGUGCACUGGCCCGAGACCUCAGCGUGGCUCCGGAUGGCCUUGAUACAGCAGCAUUCAGUAAACCCUGGUACGUUUUGAAUGCAAAAACUCACCUGCCCUUCUCACAAUUCUCACAUUGUUAAGAGAGGGAGGGGGUAUAUUCUGAUUCAGCAGUCACUUGCUCAUCUUCUCAGCUAAGUGGCAGAGCAAAAAGGUUGGGCUUAGCUAGGCAGUGGCGCACAUCUUUAAUCCCAGCAGUCAGGAGGCAGAGGCAGGCUGAUCUCUGUGAGUUCGAGGUCAGCUGGGUCCACAGAGUGAAUUCCAGGACAGUCAGGACCACACAGAGAAAACCUGUCUCUAAAGCAAAUAAAUAAGUACGUACGUAAACAAACAAAGAAAUAAAUAAAUAGUUAGACUUGUGACUAGACAGAGGGAGGACACCUUGACCAAGCAGAGCACAGAUGAUCAGGUCCCGGCAGUCUUUGCUGCUCACCAUUGCGCCCCCGACCCCCACCCCACUGCCCAGAGGACUCAGCAUUCUCCACUGCACAGCUGCAGAGCUGCUGGGGGGGGGGGUGUUAAUUGUCAAUGACUCACAGCUUAUACGGAAGACAGCUGCUGAACUGAGGUCACUGUUGGAUGCUACCAGCAGCCUGCACCUGGCCCCUCACUCCACCCCAGGACAACCCUGCAAGGCCAGUCAAAUUCUGGAGCCCUGGUGGGACAUUGGCUGGGGUCUGAUUAUGGUUUGGUGUGUCCUUAUAGCUCAUUCUGCUGACUCCUCCUCUCAUGGUAUCCCACUCUCCAUCCCAGUAGUGGCUAUCCAAGAGCCUGGCCUUCAACGUGUCUUCCUUUCUCCCAACCCUGAGACAGCAGGCUCUUUAAAAUCCCCAUUGGUCGGGGUUGGGGAUUUGGCUCAGUGGCAGAGCGCUUGCCUAGGAAGCGCAAGGCCCUGGGUUCGGUCCCCAGCUCCGAAAAAAAAAGAACCAAAAAAAAAAAAAAAUCCCCAUUGGUCGUCUUUAAUUGCUAACAGCAAGUUUCUUGACAAGGACUUUAGGGGAAGGAUCUCAAUGUGGAGGACCAAGAGUGGCUGUUGGCCAAUACUGACCCGCGUGCACGUAUAAUUUUCAACAUUGGGAAUUGUUUUCCAGGACAAAGUCAUGCAAAGGGUAAGUGAACGCAGAGAAAACGACGUGGUGCUGUAAAUUGAGCGGAAACCCUACCACAUUAUCAGCCUCCUUUCCAAGUGCUCCCAUCUGCCUCAUAUUGAAUGGAGUGUAUCCGGAACUAGUGAUCGCAGACAGCCACGUGAUCUGUACUGGGGAUGACACAAGAUGCCGAGGCUGCUGUCUUGCAAAGGAAGUUACAGCUGGGCCCUGCUCUCCGAUGAUGAUGACGGUGUUGGGUCUCUGCAUUUUAAUUCCCCGGGUUGGCAAGCAGGGGGAAAUCUAGCAAGCUGCGAUCAAAGCCACACUGGGUGUGCUGAAAGUGUUCUCUCAGCUUGGCACAGGUUAGAGUUAUCUGGGAAGAGAAAACAAAACCUCAGUUGGGAAAAAUGCCUCCAUCGGAUUGGCUUAGAGGCUAGUCUAUGGAAGCUGUUUUCUGGAUGAGUGAUUGAUGUGUGAGGGCCCAGCCCACUUCAGGUACCGCCCCUCUGCAGGUGGCCUUGGCCGGUAUGAGAAAGCAGAUUGGGCGCACAAUGCGGAACAAGGCUAUCCUUGAGCAGUGGCCCUCCUUAGCUCCUCCUGCAGUUCCUGCCUCCAGGUCCCUGUCUUGACUUCCUUCGGUGAUGGACUAUGAGGCAGAAGUGUACGCAAAUAAACCCUUUCCUUCCCAAGUUGCUUCUUUUGUCCUGUUAUUUAUCACAGCCACAGAAAGCAAACUAGGACACUAGACUUCAGCCAUGGCACCACUCCUGAUGGCCUCGAGGGUGUUGGGUACAAGUUGUGACAAAUUGGCUGAGCUCUGGGAUGGAAAUCUGUAACUUGAUCAGACUUGCUAUAGGUAUUGCCCAGUGAAUUAGAAACCCCUGGAAAAAUGUGAGUUUUAUUUUAUUUUAUUUGACAAAUCUACAUGUGAUUUUUACAUUAACACUGAAUUCCGUUCUCACUUCGUUAUAGCUCUACUACACGACGAACAUGAAGUUCUUUAGGGGGAUGGUGGCCCACACAGCACUGUGGCAUUUCCAGUUUGCUUUUCUUCAUUGAGAAGAAAAAUCACAUGAGGGAUAAACCUGCCAGAUGAAUCUCAUGGAUGCUCUCAAGCUACUGAAAUUGGAAUCGGGCACCCUCGAAAUGAUGUUAACCAGGAAUACCAGCUUGAGAAACAUAGCGUGAGAGAUGUCUGUAGGAUGGCUACCCUCUGUUUGAGGCUGUGGAGGAGACCAGAGAGUCCCACUGGCAGGGAAUGAGCGACUAUCAAGGAACAGACAGCGAUGGAGAAGACACCUGUGUCUCCCAUAUUCUCAUUUCUGUUGAACAGAAGAAAGUCUUUAGGGUACCCGUUCUCAGUGAGCAGACCCUCUGAGAUUAAUGCAAGGGCUUAUUGCUCUUAGGUCCAACACAGCAUGACUAACACGUACACCCUCCCUCUCUCAGACCAGCUGGAUUCUUUCAGGGGUGGCUCUGUUGUUUACUCCUGUAUAUUCUUUCUAGGCUGAGAACCCCCCUGGUAGGGAAGAAUCAUGUGGCUCUCUACAGGCAGUAAAUGCCCCACAAUGUUUAAUUUGGGGAGUAUAGCAUGCAUCAUCACACUGAAGUUCGCGUGGUCUUUCUGCUACCACUAGGAGGCCAGGAGACUCUUUCCUUAAGUGCUUUAGAAUCCUGGAGAAUUCUUCACUUUUCCUCGUGGAGGGAGAAAAUGGAGUUGGCGACCCAUGUGAGGCAGAGCUAAUUUGAACUUGGAGAGAAUGGGGAAUUUCAUGGCUUUGGAGAAAGUCACGGGGAUGAGAAUGCAGACCACAUCAAAUAUUUUGGUUUCAAGGGGUGGUCUCCAUGUGGGGAAAAUUGUAACAGCCUUUGUAUGCAACUUAAAGAAAAAAGAACUAUUUUCCCAUCCACUGCAAGGAAGCUGUUGGAUCUACGUUAGUGGUGAAUUAGGCUACAUUUCCCAGCAAAACUUUCAGGCCACCACCAAGUACAACACAGAACAGCCCCUAAACUGGCUCUGCCCGCAAUUGCGUUGCUCAACUUUGGAAGUUAAAACAAUUGAAAUCAAACAAUAUACAAACAAUCAUUGUGUGUAUUUCCAUAAGAAAAGUGCCCUCCAGUUCUCUAUUCAAGUUUAAGACCGGAGAGGGCUUAGAAAUAUUUCCCAAGAAGCAUCUGUUUCCCAGGAAAGCCCAGGAGACAGAAUUGGCAUUGUAACUAAUAAUGGCAGUGUCUUUUUUUUCUUUUCUUUUCUUUUCUUUUCUUUUCUUUUCUUUUCUUUUCUUUUCUUUCCUUUUCUUUUCGGAGCUGGGGACCGAACCCAGGGCCUUGGGCUUGCUAGGCAAGCGCUCUACCACUGAGCUAAAUCCCCAGCCCCAAUGGCAGUGUCUUUACAUUUUCACGUUCAUCUCUUAUUCAGAGAGCUCAGUGAACCACUGACACUAAACCUUGUUAAUGUUCUCACUCUCUUCAUUCAGACAUUAUGUCGUUUUCUAUCAAAUUUUGGACUAUAUAGCAGCAGACUGCUUUUUUUUUUUUAAAACACUUUCAGCAGUUACUUUUAUAAAAUAUUUGGAGGUAACUGACUUAUAAAGAAAAAUGCUCAUUUUUGGCUCACAGUUUUGAAGGCUCUGGUCCAUAUUUAGCUGGUUCAUUGCUUUGAGCUUGUGGCAAAAGAACAUACAUAUCAUGGCGGAGAUGGCCUAUAGCUGCGGUGGGUGAAGAAUGGGUCAGAGUUGUUCAUCUCGGGGCCAGGAAGCAAAGAACAAGAGAAAGAAGUUAGUUGAAUGUCUUAGAAUUAAUAGAGUGACGAUUUCUAUUGCUGGGAAGAGACACUACAACCAUGACACAUUUUAUUGAUUCUUUGUAAAGUUCACAGUGUGCACCCCAAUCCCACUUACCUUCCCAUCCCUCCAUAUCCACCCUCUACUCUUGCAACCUCCCCACCAAAGAAAACAGACAGGCAGGCAGACAGACAGGCAGGCAGACAGAUAGGUAGACAGUGUCACCAUGGGAGUGGCACUAUGUCGUGGUGCGUCACAUAGUAUACCUUUUUGGACUAUGGCGACUCUUUUUUUUUUUUAAGAUUUAUUCAUUUAUUAUAUAUAAGUACACGGUAGCUGUCUUCAGACACACCAGAAGAGGGCAUCGGAUCUCUUUACAGAUGGUCGUGAGCCACCAUGUGGUUGCUGGGAAUUGAACUCAGGACCUCUGGAAGAGCAGUCAGGUGCUCUUAACCUCUGAGCCCUCUCUCCAGCCCCUAUGGCAACUCUUAUAAGGAAAAUGUUUAAUUGGGGCUGGCCUACAGUUUCAGAGGUUCAGUCCAUUAUCAGCAUGGCAGGAAACAUGGUGUCACUCAGGCAGUCAUGGUGCUGGAGAAGGAGCUGAGAGUUCUACAGCUUAAUUCACAGGCAGCAGAAGAAGACUUGAGCCACACUUGGGUGUAGCUUGAGCAUGAGACCUCAAAGCCUGAAGCCACAGUAACACACUUCCUCCAACCAGGUCUCACCUCCUAAUAGCACCGCUCCCCGUGGUCAAGCAUUCAAACACCUUCGUCUAUGGGGGCCAUUCCUAUUCAAGCCAUCACAUAGGGGUUUCGCGAUUUCCUUCAAAGUCUUGCCCAACGGCCUGAAGUCACCCCUUGGUGUUCACCUUACUGUCCCUUCCCAAUGGCACCCAGAGACCAAGCCUUUUAAUAGAUGAGCCUUUGAGAGACAUCUACUCCAUAGCAGAGAUGUAGGGAAUGCUUUGUUGCUAUUGGAUGGAACUCACACUCAAGGGCCUUGGCUUUCGAAGCUCAAGGUGGCAUUGGCUUUUGUAUGUGAAGCCAAAGCUAGAGCCUGUGGGUAAAUUCUUGAUGGGCUUUUUCAAAAGUACAUUUCUAUUCAGUCAGACAUGACUGGAGUUAGCAGAAGCUUCACCUGACCUUGUCCUUUGUUCUCGCUUUCAUGGUAACUGCAGCUCUUGCCCCUCACUGGCAACAUCAGUGAAAGAGGAGAGCAAAGAUCAAGGGAGAUCGGUUUCUCUGUGUCAUUCUUCUGGGGCCCCACUGAUGAUGAGAAAGCCUGGGCUUCUGAUUGGCCUGAGUCUCGAGUCUCAGUAUCUUUAUUUGUAAGCAAUCAUCCUUCUCUUCACUCAACCUGCACAUACCUGCGGAAAUGACGUCAUUGGAACAACACAGUAAAAAGGUGACACACAUUUUGCCCGUGUCACCUGUUUUGCAAAGUGUCAUAAACUGUCUGCCACCUCAUUUCCUGUCUCAGUUUUAGCCUUUAUUUUUGCAGGCUGAGACCUUGCUCCUACUGUCUCCUAAUGGAGAAUGUUCAAAAUGGUCUAUUUCAGGAGUCAAUUCCGAGACCUAAAUCAGAGGAGCUGAAUCCUCAUUCCAAUGUUAUAAAGCAGCCAAGGGAAAACUGCUCCCCAAACCAUCUUUAGUACAAAGACCCAGCACAUCUUAAGGACUAUUGACUCAAGUUGUCUAGAAAACUAUGGCCGGUGGCAGCUACCUUAGAGAGAAAGGCUCUUGACCUUGGAGCUAUGGUUAACAUUUGUUUGGGGACAAGGGGAAAUAACCACACCAUUCAUAAUUUAAAUAUGCCCAACUCAUGCUAAGCCUGUGGAUAAUCACCCCCACAGCCUGAUAUUUGUAACUAGCCUGUAAAAUUUGGCUACUGCUCUAUGGCUAAGUUUGUGAAUGGUUAUGGAUUUCAUCCUGUAACAAAAAUGUUGGCCAUGACUGUAAAUCCCUGGGAGCUUCUGCAAGAGGCUGGCUUCUCUUUUAGCUUCCGGACUGCAGAGAGGCAGAUGCCAAUGGCUGAGGAGUUCUGUUCUGGGCAGGGCACCAGCAUAGACCUCCCUGUUCCGCUGUCUCAAACUGGAUCUUCUCCCUGCUGCUUUUCACUGUGUCUCCUCAAUUCUCACCGAACACCUUGAUUUAAACAGCAGCAGCAACAGCAGCAGCAGCAGCAGCAGCAGCAGCAGCAGCAGCAGCAGCAGCAGCAGCAGCAGCAGCAAAACCUCCCACAAAAACUCGGUCAUGAGUAAAGUUAUGAUCGCUUUGAAUUCCAGAACCCUUGAUGGAUGUAGUUGUUGGGAUAAGGAACGUUCUCUUCUUGGAACAAAUCUCCUGCCCUUCUUAGGGAGACGGACUCAAAGCAGCGCUGUGAUGCUUCAGGGUGAGGCCUGCUGAUGAAGAGAUGGGCUUCAGAGAAAUUUAGAGAUGCCACUUAGAAGUCAUUAUCUGAAGUCUUGGACCGAGUGUUACCUACUGAUUCACUAAUCUGACUUCCUUAGGAUAGAGUUCAGGUGAUAGUCUAUUUUUUUUUCCAGACCAGGCUAGCCUCGAACUCACAGAGAUCUGCCCGCCUCUGUCAACCAAGUGCUAGGCUUAAGGGUGCCACAUCACCAUCUGGUCAGGAUGAUACUCUUGACCUAUAGUUACCAGAUCUUUUUUGUGUGCCUUACUAUAGCAAUGUUAACUAGCGUCACUGAAAUUCGUGACAGCGUAAUUUUAUACAAUCUGUCGAUAUAUUAAAAUAAACCCUAAAAAUCAGAGAAGAAAAUCCAAGAGAAAUAAUCAAGUAUAUUGUAAAAAAAAUAAACUCGUGAGACAUUU
Rattus norvegicus (Norway rat) is the source of this 7091-nucleotide non-coding RNA. The record is from RefSeq and is a predicted model, not a curated record. NCBI's taxonomy places the organism in Eukaryota, Metazoa, Chordata, Mammalia, Rodentia, Muridae.